RNAcentral lists this ribosomal RNA (519 nucleotides) under uncultured Actinomycetes bacterium. Its description in RNAcentral is "bacterial SSU rRNA". It matches the Rfam family "Bacterial small subunit ribosomal RNA", at positions 363 to 896 of the family's 1533-position model. Lineage: Bacteria; Bacillati; Actinomycetota; Actinomycetes. The record is from RNAcentral.
ACUGCGCAAUGGGCGUAAGCCUGACGCAGCAACGCCGCGUGCGGGAUGAAGGCCUUCGGGUUGUAAACCGCUUUCAGCAGGGACGAAAAUGACGGUACCUGCAGAAGAAGCCCCGGCCAACUACGUGCCAGCAGCCGCGGUAACACGUAGGGGGCGAGCGUUGUCCGGAUUUAUUGGGCGUAAAGAGCUCGUAGGCGGUUUCGUAAGUCGGGUGUGAAAACUCCAGGCUCAACCUGGAGACGCCACCCGAGACUGCGAUAACUAGAGUCCGGUAGGGGAGUGUGGAAUUCCUGGUGUAGCGGUGAAAUGCGCAGAUAUCAGGAGGAACACCAACGGCGAAGGCAGCACUCUGGGCCGGAACUGACGCUGAGGAGCGAAAGCGUGGGUAGCGAACAGGAUUAGAUACCCUGGUAGUCCACGCCGUAAACGUUGGGCACUAGGUGUGGGAUCUUUCCAACGGAUUCCGUGCCGUAGCUAACGCAUUAAGUGCCCCGCCUGGGGAGUACGGCCGCAAGGCUA